Molecule: microRNA precursor, 206 nt
Filed under: Leersia perrieri
Lineage: Eukaryota; Viridiplantae; Streptophyta; Magnoliopsida; Poales; Poaceae
Description: MIR812 microRNA precursor family
Rfam family: MIR812 microRNA precursor family
Source: Rfam by way of RNAcentral
AAUAUAAGCAUCUGUUGACUUUCAGACGUCACGUUUGACCAUCCGUCUUAUUUAAAAAUUUGGUGAAUAUAUUAUUUAUUUUGUUAUGAUUUGUUUUAUCAUUUGGUAUAUUUUAAGUAUGACUUAUUUGUUUUUAUAUUCUAUAAAUUUUUGGAAUAAGACAGAUAGUCAAACGUGAUGUGCGAAAAUCGAUAAAUGCUUAUAUA